GACGAACGCUGGCGGCGUGCCUAAUACACGCAAGUUGAGCGAUGAAGAUUGGUGCUUGCACCAAUUUGCAGAGCAGCGAACGGGUGAGUAACGCGUGGGGAAUCUGCCUUUGAGCGGGGGACAACAUUUGGAAACGAAUGCUAAUACCGCAUAACAACUUUAAACAUAAGUUUUAAGUUUGAAAGAUGCAAUUGCAUCACUCAAAGAUGAUCCCGCGUUGUAUUAGCUAGUUGGUGAGGUAAAGGCUCACCAAGGCGAUGAUACAUAGCCGACCUGAGAGGGUGAUCGGCCACAUUGGGACUGAGACACGGCCCAAACUCCUACGGGAGGCAGCAGUAGGGAAUCUUCGGCAAUGGACGAAAGUCUGACCGAGCAACGCCGCGUGAGUGAAGAAGGGUUUCGGAUCGUAAAACUCUGUUGGUAGAGAAGAACGUUGGUGAGAGUGGAAAGCUCAUCAAGUGACGGUAACUACCCAGAAAGGGACGGCUAACUACGUG
Molecule: ribosomal RNA, 497 nt
Filed under: uncultured bacterium
Lineage: Bacteria
Description: partial 16S ribosomal RNA
Rfam family: Bacterial small subunit ribosomal RNA
Source: RNAcentral